CCUACGGGCGGCAGCAGUGAGGAAUAUUGGUCAAUGGGCGGGAGCCUGAACCAGCCAAGCCGCGUGAAGGAAGAAGGUGCCAGGCGUCGUAAACUUCUUUUGUCGGGGAACAAAGGGCGCCACGCGUGGCGUUCUGAGUGUACCCGAAGAAAAAGCAUCGGCUAACUCCGUGCCAGCAGCCGCGGUAAUACGGAGGAUGCGAGCGUUAUCCGGAUUUAUUGGGUUUAAAGGGUGCGUAGGCGGCAUUUUAAGUCAGCGGUGAAAGUCUGUGGCUCAAACAUAGAAUUGCCGUUGAAACUGGGGGGCUUGAGUAUGUUUGAGGCAUGCGGAAUGCGUGGUGUAGCGGUGAAAUGCUUAGAUAUCACGCAGAACCCCGAUUGCGAAGGCAGCCUGCCAAGCCAUGACUGACGCUGAUGCACGAAAGCGUGGGGAUCAAACAGGAUUAGAUACCCUUGUAGUC
This 460-nucleotide ribosomal RNA is filed under the name uncultured bacterium. Its description in RNAcentral is "partial 16S ribosomal RNA". It matches the Rfam family "Bacterial small subunit ribosomal RNA", at positions 338 to 795 of the family's 1533-position model. The record is from RNAcentral.